This 268-nucleotide unclassified non-coding RNA is filed under the name Hevea brasiliensis (rubber tree). Lineage: Eukaryota; Viridiplantae; Streptophyta; Magnoliopsida; Malpighiales; Euphorbiaceae. The record is from RNAcentral.
GGUUGAGAUACAUCAUAGAUCCAAGACUUGCAGGCCAAUAUUCUGUGAAGGGGGCAAAGCAAAUUGGCCUUUUAGCAUUGCAAUGCAUAAGUGUGAACCCCAAAGACAGGCCCAAAAUGCCAGCCAUUGUUGAAACACUUGAAGCCCUGCAACAGUACAAGGACAUGGCUGUCACUUGUGGGCAAUGGCCUCCUUCACCAAAAUCUAAGGCUAGAAAUGGAGUUUCAACUCAAGUGAGACUCCAAGCAAGACAAAAUAAGUAAAUCUC